GAAUCUCCAUAUCAGCUGCACAAACUAAAACUGGAAUUAUGCAGAGAUUAGCCUGGCCCCUGUGCAAGGAUGAUGCUCAGACCAGCAAAGCAUCUGUCUCUCUG
Molecule: small nuclear RNA, 104 nt
Filed under: Peromyscus maniculatus bairdii (prairie deer mouse)
Lineage: Eukaryota; Metazoa; Chordata; Mammalia; Rodentia; Cricetidae
Source: RNAcentral